GCAGUUUAGAAGGACCAGGCUCCCCAGGUUUAUGGGGAAGGGAGAUCAUGCUUUUUAAGCAGGAAAUGAUUUCCCUACUCACCAACGCUUUGGGAUGCCGAACCUUUUGCCACUAGAGGGCUGCUUCCCAUCCAGCACAGCCGACGGGACUGAAAAAGAGCACCACGCAAAGUCAUUUUUCAGCCUCCUGUUCCCGCUCCGUCUCCUUACCACCAGUCAGUGGCAACAAGAGGGCCCCUGCAUUCGGACACCGCGCAGAGUCUGAAAACUGGGUUCGUUGGGGCUUCUUGCAAACACAAUUCAACCUGAAGCCGUUUCCUCUGGAAAUGCUUGUGCAGGCGAAAUCUGUUGCUCCAGCAGGUGGCCUCCGAUCCUUGCCGAGCUGCUGUGGGUGUGGUGCAGACAGAAAUACACACCAGUCAAGUGGGAAAGAAAAAAAGAAAUCAAAGUGAAGUAGCAUCAGGAAGAAAGAGGAUGGGGAUGGGAAGAGUCCUUACAAGGCAAUUUCCUCCUCCCCAGGCCAUCCUAGAUUUCAAGCCAUCCCAGAGACUGAAUCAUGCA
This is a long non-coding RNA of Mauremys reevesii (Reeves's turtle), 561 nucleotides long. RefSeq lists it as uncharacterized. The record is from RefSeq and is a predicted model, not a curated record. The transcript has 4 exons. Lineage: Eukaryota; Metazoa; Chordata; Testudines; Geoemydidae.